UAUUACUUAGUACAGUUUACCUAUGUGAUACAGUGGCAAUUUAUCGGCCUAAAGGUAAGCGACUACUUAUCGGUAUCGGACGCACGCAACGGAGUACGCCUCAUACUAAAAUCCAUUUUGGACGUUGUUGUGUGAGUUCGUUUACAAGGCAUACUAAAAUCCGCUGCGUGCGAUGCCGAUAAGUGGACGCUUACCUUAAAAUCUCGUUUUGGUGACGGUCCGGCGACGGCGGCCGUGGACAAACGACCAAACUGCUGCCGUUAUGGCAGCAACCCAUUGAAACAAUGUUAUGGUUAUUUAUAUUUGCUCUUGUAAAUACAACUUGCAAGCAUAAUAUUAUCUUUUAGUAAAUGUUGUCUGUA
Molecule: long non-coding RNA, 362 nt
Organism: Aricia agestis (brown argus)
Lineage: Eukaryota; Metazoa; Arthropoda; Insecta; Lepidoptera; Lycaenidae
Exons: 3
Source: RefSeq, a predicted model, not a curated record